RNAcentral lists this unclassified non-coding RNA (304 nucleotides) under Melitaea cinxia (Glanville fritillary). RNAcentral describes it as "misc RNA ENSMCXG00005018215.1". Lineage: Eukaryota; Metazoa; Arthropoda; Insecta; Lepidoptera; Nymphalidae. The record is from RNAcentral.
CUUAUAGCUUAUAGUGAAACAUUUUUAAAGAUUUAUAUCUACCUUAUAUUCUUUGAGUAUAAUUUGUUACAUAAAGCCCCUUCGAAACGUGGAACGCCAGAAGCUCUUUCAAAGGCUGACAAUAGGCCAAUUUAAUCCGAUCUAAGAAAAUUCAAAUUGACGUUGACGAAACCUCGAUAAUACGAACGAACCUCAGAAAACUCGGAAAAAUGAAACAAAUCCUAAAUUGUAGUCCUUUCGAAUAUAUACUAGUCGAAGAUUGAUAGUGGAUUCUUCGAAUCGGGCAAGGAAUACGAAACAUUUU